AAAAUAUUUAGGGUACCUAAGCAGAUAAACAUAACCCAGUCAAAUUGGAUGAAUGGAAAAAUCUCUUCCUCUUUGCCAAUUCAAUCAACUGAACAAGAAAACAAAAGAAGAGUGUAUUUAGAAGCAAGCUAUUGAAUCUAAUGGACACCCUCUUUCAAUGCACCGAAUAAUUAGUGCGACUGGAAAAGACUCCAAGGGGCCGUUAUGAACCUACAUUUUAUGGACAAUUAAUAGCCAGUUGUCCUUUGUCGUUUGAUGCUUCUGUUCUAGUUCUGAAAUUUGGGAAUGCUAGUAUGAUACGUGAAGGCAUAUUGCUGGGUAUAAUGAUGGAUAAAAAGCCUUUACCCAUUCUUCAUCCAUUUGGAGAGGAUAUAUUGGUAACGCCAGAGUGGAUCAAUAUUACUAUUUCCAAUUGCACUGAUUCUAUGUUGUAAUUUUUAUGAGCUUUAUUGUAAUUGAAUCCUUUUGUUUUCGUCAGUUUACAAAGCAUAUUGCUAGCUACUUUACUGACCGAACAAUCUUAGCCGGUCGAAAGGAGAUGGAAUUCAUGGCUAACUUUUGUGCAUUUGAAUUUUGGCAGCAUCUUUUCAGGGUAAUUGAUUUGUCUGAUAAUUCAAUGCUACCUAAUUCUAUGAUGAUGAAUAUUGUUCUAUCAUUAUAACAGGGAUGCCGAAGAGAAGAGCAGAGAAUGUAAACAUCUUUUAAAGUAACGAUAUAGAUAGAUACACGGAUUUCACAAAGAAUGGGAUCCCAAACUUUUUGCUACACUGUAAUUAUAAUUCAAGCUGUGUUUGGUUAUUCCAAAUUAAAAAUUUUUUCCUUCUUCUCCUUUCUAUCCUUGAUUGACACAGGUUGAGUUGUAUUAUAUGUCGUACAAGACAAGAGUGUCCAAAUUCCAAACAAAAUAAUAAUAACCAAAAUAUUAUCAUAUUUGAA
Non-coding RNA from Arachis ipaensis, 936 nucleotides. The record is from RefSeq and is a predicted model, not a curated record. NCBI's taxonomy places the organism in Eukaryota, Viridiplantae, Streptophyta, Magnoliopsida, Fabales, Fabaceae.